AGUGAACGCUGGCGGUAGGCCUAACACAUGCAAGUCGAACGGCAGCACAGUAAUCGCUUGCUCUUCCGGGUGGCGAGUGGCGGACGGUUGAGGAAUACAUCGGAAUCUACUUUUUCGUGGGGGAUAACGUAGGGAAACUUACGCUAAUACCGCAUACGACCUACGGGUGAAAGCAGGAGAUCUUCGGACCUUGCGCGAUUGAAUGAGCCGAUGUCGGAUUAGCUAGUUGGCGGGGUAAAGGCCCACCAAGGCGACGAUCCGUAGCUGGUCUGAGAGGAUGAUCAGCCACACUGGAACUGAGACACGGUCCAGACUCCUACGGGAGGCAGCAGUGGGGAAUAUUGGACAAUGGGCGCAAGCCUGAUCCAGCCAUACCGCGUGGGUGAAGAAGGCCUUCGGGUUGUAAAGCCCUUUUGUUGGGAAAGAAAAGCAGCAGGUUAAUACCCCGCUGUUAUGACGGUACCCAAAGAAUAAGCACCGGCUAACUUCGUG
RNAcentral lists this ribosomal RNA (492 nucleotides) under uncultured bacterium. Its description in RNAcentral is "partial 16S ribosomal RNA". It matches the Rfam family "Bacterial small subunit ribosomal RNA", at positions 29 to 507 of the family's 1533-position model. The record is from RNAcentral.